RNAcentral lists this transfer RNA (100 nucleotides) under Zasmidium cellare ATCC 36951. RNAcentral describes it as "tRNA-Leu". Lineage: Eukaryota; Fungi; Ascomycota; Dothideomycetes; Mycosphaerellales; Mycosphaerellaceae. The record is from RNAcentral.
UCCAACAGGCCGAGCGGUCUAAGGCGCCACGUUAAGGUGUCACACCCUUAAUCCAAUUCCGUGGUCCGAAAGGGCACGAGUUCGAAUCUCGUUCUUGUCA